Molecule: long non-coding RNA, 448 nt
Organism: Drosophila guanche
Lineage: Eukaryota; Metazoa; Arthropoda; Insecta; Diptera; Drosophilidae
Exons: 2
Source: RefSeq, a predicted model, not a curated record
CGGGAGCCAACUGUCAGUAAUUCAGUAAUGAAAAUUUAACAAACUUUGGCAAACACAAAUAUGAAAUUAUCCGUUUUGUUUAUCUUGAUGCAAUUGCUGGCAAUGUCGAUGCUGAUGCUGAUGCCCACAUCAAAUGGAGACGCCUUCGUGGACACGUCUCGGGGGGACAUUUCCGUGGCCGAGGCAGAGGAAGGCUCCUGCCUGGUGGGUUGCCUUAAGGCGAGCAACAUCAGCAGUGUGGACCCUCCGACAGAGUGUCCACAGUAUGAGAGGACCCUCGACUGCACACUGAUCUGUUUGUUUAGGCAUUAGCAAAAGCGACAAACACAAAAUGCCCGCAAAAUGGCAACUGCCAGUGGAGCAAAUAUUUGGCAUUUAAACAUCCGGAUGCCAUGCCGGCUGAAUCCUCGUGUGCUGCUCCGAAAAGUUCAAACAAAACAGCCAAAAA